GAAUUUUAUAUAAAUUUUAAUUAAUUAUCUUGAUUAUAAAGAUUUUAAUUAGGUUUUAUAUUUGAUUGGGAGGAUAGUUAAAUUAAAAGAACUUUAAUUGAAAAAAACAUUGAUUUAUGAAAAUUUAUAAAAAAAAAGAUUAAGAUUUUUUUUGAAAAAAGUCUUAUAAAAGAAUUAAUUACCUUAGGGAUAACAGCGUAAUAUUUUUAUAAAGAUCUUAUUGAUAAAAAUGAUUGC
RNAcentral lists this ribosomal RNA (237 nucleotides) under Camponotus sp. 04.FGSGt. Its description in RNAcentral is "partial large subunit ribosomal RNA". Lineage: Eukaryota; Metazoa; Arthropoda; Insecta; Hymenoptera; Formicidae. The record is from RNAcentral.